RNAcentral lists this long non-coding RNA (337 nucleotides) under Capsicum annuum. RNAcentral describes it as "long non-coding RNA (CANN_LNC008325)". The record is from RNAcentral. Lineage: Eukaryota; Viridiplantae; Streptophyta; Magnoliopsida; Solanales; Solanaceae.
AGUGGAGUAAACAUUAGCAUGUACUCAGGGAUAAGAUAAAAUAAUGCAAGUUAUUCAAAACCAAAGUAAAUAACCAUGAGAAAUCACAUAGAAACACACACACAUAUAUUUAUAGUGCGGGGAAAGGAAACUGAGUUUUGCAUCCAUUUAAUACCUUAACCUGAGCUGAGUAGCUUGACCAUCCUAAAACACCCAUUGGAUAUAUGGGUUAACCUCCCCAUGCUGAAAGGGCCCCAAUGUGUGUUUGCUGCAUGACUAAAGAAAAAUAACCUUAGAUGACUAGUAAAUCUCCCAAAAUAUAAAGUGUGUAAUCAUGAACACGGUCAUCAAGACCACC